UCGGACAAGAAGAAUAGAUCG
This 21-nucleotide non-coding RNA is filed under the name Caenorhabditis elegans. Lineage: Eukaryota; Metazoa; Nematoda; Chromadorea; Rhabditida; Rhabditidae. The record is from RNAcentral.